UACGGAGGGUGCAAGCGUUAUCCGGAAUCAUUGGGUUUAAAGGGUCCGCAGGCGGUUCUAUAAGUCAGUGGUGAAAUCUCUCGGCUCAACCGAGAAACUGCCAUUGAUACUGUAGGACUUGAAUUCGGUCGAAGUGGGCGGUAUAUGACAUGUAGCGGUGAAAUGCUUAGAUACGUCAUAGAACACCGAUAGCGAAGGCAGCUCACUAGGCCUGGAUUGACGCUCAGGGACGAAAGCGUGGGGAGCAAACAGG
Molecule: ribosomal RNA, 253 nt
Filed under: uncultured bacterium
Lineage: Bacteria
Description: partial 16S ribosomal RNA
Rfam family: Bacterial small subunit ribosomal RNA
Source: RNAcentral